RNAcentral lists this ribosomal RNA (498 nucleotides) under uncultured eukaryote. RNAcentral describes it as "bacterial SSU rRNA". The stretch from base 1 to 385 matches the Rfam family "Eukaryotic small subunit ribosomal RNA", at positions 1211 to 1607 of the family's 1831-position model. The record is from RNAcentral.
AAACUCACCAGGUCAGGACACGGUAAGGAUUGACGGACUGAAGGCUCUUUCUCGAUUCCGUGGAAAGUGGUGCAUGGCCGUUUUUGGUUGGUGGAUCGAUCCGUCUGGUUAAUUCCGUUAACGAACGAGACCUCGGCACUCCGAAUAGCGCGGCGGACGUCGCGGCCUCCGGGCCGUCUUCCGCACGAGCUUCUUAGAGGGACCGUCCCCCGCCGGGGAAGGAGGUGCGAGGCAACGACAGGUCUGUGAUGCCCUUAGAUGUUCUGGGCCGCACGCGCAUUACACUGACGCGUCCAACGGGUGACUCCCGACCCGAAGGGGCCGGGGAAUCCGCAAGGCGCGUCGUGAUGGGGAUUGAACGUUGCAAUUGUUGUUCACGAACGAGUACUAAGAGCGUGUGGCGGAUGAUAUGGCGCUGAGAGCCGAUGAAGGACGUAGCAAGGCUGCGAUAAGCCUCGGUGAGCUGCCCAGCAAGCGACGACCCGGGAGUGUCCGAAU